Molecule: ribosomal RNA, 440 nt
Filed under: uncultured bacterium
Lineage: Bacteria
Description: partial 16S ribosomal RNA
Rfam family: Bacterial small subunit ribosomal RNA
Source: RNAcentral
CCUACGGGAGGCAGCAGUGGGGAAUAUUGCACAAUGGGGGAAACCCUGAUGCAGCGACGCCGCGUGAGUGAAGAAGUAUUUCGGUACGUAAAGCUCUAUCAGCGGGGAAGAAAAUGACGGUACCUGACUAAGAAGCCCCGGCUAACUACGUGCCAGCAGCCGCGGUAAUACGUAGGGGGCAAGCGUUAUCCGGAUUUACUGGGUGUAAAGGGAGCGUAGACGGCAGCGCAAGUCUGGAGUGAAAUCCCAUGGCUUAACCAUGGAACUGCUUUGGAAACUGUGCAGCUAGAGUGCAGGAGAGGUAAGCGGAAUUCCUAGUGUAGCGGUGAAAUGCGUAGAUAUUAGGAGGAACACCAGUGGCGAAGGCGGCUUACUGGACUGUAACUGACGUUGAGGCUCGAAAGCGUGGGGAGCAAACAGGAUUAGAUACCCGGGUAGUC